RNAcentral lists this long non-coding RNA (2207 nucleotides) under Solanum tuberosum (potato). RNAcentral describes it as "long non-coding RNA (STUB_LNC008945)". The record is from RNAcentral. Lineage: Eukaryota; Viridiplantae; Streptophyta; Magnoliopsida; Solanales; Solanaceae.
CUCACUUGUAAAAACACUCUCAAUAUAUUUGCAUUUUAAACUUAAUGGAGCAACAAGAUAAUUCAAAUAUUAUGGAUAAGCAAGAGGCAAAGGUAUAUUGUUCAUUAAAUAUGCAAAGGUAAAUUCAUAUAUUCCUGAAUAUCAUAGAUAUGAUUGAAUAAGUUUAUGUUAGUUAUUAUGUAUUAGAAUUAUACGAAUCAUGCUUUCUAGUUUAUUAGCAAACAGGAAAAGCGAGAAACCUUCUAUAACUAUGCCAUCCUAAAGUUGAAACCGGAAAGGCAAGAGAAGCCGUGAUAGGGGAGUAAACACAGUUGAGGCACUGUUUAGGAAGAAAGUAUCUGCUAAAGUACGAUGCUAAUAGUGACAGGAGAACGUGAUAAACAAAUAAUCUAGUUCAUAAUGAUCUAAUAUAAUCCUGUUCAGUUAUGAAUAUGAUAGGAAGGAAUAAUUGAUAAAAAAUCUGCAAAUAACAAGAACAUGAAUACAUUUAUACAUGAUGAAAUGAUAAAAAGCUACCACACAUUAAUCUUAUAUGUACUCAAAAAUAUAAAAAUUAUCGAAUUAAGAGAAAUUAUAUGGAAAAAGAUAUUUAAUGAUGAAAUGGAAUUAGAAAACCAAGCAUGGUAUGAAAUAGAUUUGCAAGAUUUAUAUUUAGAUACUGAAAGAAUAGAAUUAUAUGAUUUAGAAAUGGAAUAUUCAGAUUAAAAUGAAUUACAAAUAUUUGUAAUAUUGGACAGAGACUAUAGAAGAUAUAAAACUAGUAGAACAAUUAAUGGAAAACAAUUUAUAUAUGUAUCUAAGAACCCAAGAUAUAUUAUACCUGGAAUAUAUCUCAAAUAAUGUUAAAGAAAUAUUCAGAUUAAAACAACUAUCAAAAGAAUAUUAUGAUAAGCUUUAUAAUCAAAGGUAAAAAUAAAAUUAAAAAAUCCUAACUUAAAUGAAUUCCGCAACACCCCAAAUAUAUUUGAUAGAUUGGAAAUAUUUGGAGACAUUGAAGAAAAGAAAAGCAUUGAGGAAUUAGCUUGUUUGACUUUGGCUCUUCGGUGGAGGUAGAUUAUGGUUUAUUCUAUGCGAUAGAUAGACUCUUAAUAGCAAUAUAUUCAUUGAGUGAUAUUGUAAAGUUUUCUAUGUACUUGGUUGUUAUGGUUUGAAUAAUAUAUGUGUCGUUGUGAUUGGUCAGUAAUCCCAAGGCCGCAAAAUCCACAAUCUUAAACUUGUUGUAUUAAAGUGAUGCCUCGAAUAAAGAAGAUUUAAUGAAAUAUUGUUAAGAAAGUCCAAAGAGAUGAUAAAAAAUGGCAAAUGAAUUAAUGAUAUAUUUGGAUCGGGUGUCACGUUCUGACACAAUAUUAUUGGAUUGGGUGUGACGUUCCGACACAGUAUUAUUGGAUCGGGUGUCAUGUUCCGACACAGUAUUAUUGGAUCGGGUGUCACGUUUUGAUACGGUAUUAUUGGAUCGGAUGUCACGUUCCGACACGGUAACAUUAAAGGAAAACAUAUAGAAACAACGUAUGUGCUCAAUCUCAAAGAACUCAAUUUCCAAAAUAGCCUUGUUUUGAGGCAUGAGUCCUCAUGUGUGAUCUUGAUAUUGUUGACUGAUUAUGUACUUACUUUAGUGUUGUUAUCAUUUGUUCAUGUUGGUUGUUGUUUGCCACAUGCUAAGUGCCAUAGUUGAAUUUAUAUUAUUACUCAUUGCAUAUUAGUUUCUAUUUUGAGUUGACCGAUAAUAUCUACUCAGUACAAGUUGCCCUGUACUGAUCCCUACUUGUGUUUCUUCAUUUUCUUUUGUGGAGUGCAACAAUUGUACCAUAGACUUCGACUCGCCCUCAGCUCUGGCCAAUCUCCAACACAUCAGAUUUCAGGGUGAGCUAUUCCUUCUAGCUCGUGAUGGAUUCUCUCAGUCGUGGCAUAAUGUCCUUAAAUUUUGGACAUACACUAUCCUACUUAUUUAUUUUGGCGUCUUUAAUACUUUUAGACUUGGUAUUUGAGAAUAUAUGACAUUGAUGUGAUGACUUUCAGGUUUUGGGAUGAUAUGUAAUAGACUCUAGAAGUUUCUUUUAUUGGUUACUUUAAUAAGCUUUGAGCUUCGGCAUUAUAGUUGAUUUCCGUAAGUUGAACAAUUGAUAUAAGUUGAGGUUGAAUUAGUUGGUUCUCUCACCUAGGAGGUUAAGUGUGGGUGCAACUCAUGACUCAUUUUAAAUCGUGACAAG